CCUGGCGGCUGUAGCGCGGUGGUCCCACCUGACCCCAUGCCGAACUCAGAAGUGAAACGCCGUAGCGCCGAUGGUA
RNAcentral lists this ribosomal RNA (76 nucleotides) under Citrobacter freundii. RNAcentral also lists the same sequence under 4 other names. Lineage: Bacteria; Pseudomonadati; Pseudomonadota; Gammaproteobacteria; Enterobacterales; Enterobacteriaceae. The record is from RNAcentral.